Molecule: unclassified non-coding RNA, 2063 nt
Filed under: Limulus polyphemus (Atlantic horseshoe crab)
Lineage: Eukaryota; Metazoa; Arthropoda; Merostomata; Xiphosura; Limulidae
Description: 26S proteasome regulatory subunit 6B-like, transcript variant X1
Source: RNAcentral
GCCCCAAUAUUCUAGAAUCGAAUGCGCUCAAUUUUGCGAAGUCAUUGUGAGGAAGUUACAAUUUUUAGCACAUAGUUUAGUGUAAACUAAAGGGGGGAAUGGAGGAAAUAGGAAUUAUCAUUCCUGAAAAGCAGGAAGAAACUUUUACCACAGAACCACGUAUUACUAGUGGCUGUACUCUUUCUGCGACUGAUGAACUGGAUUUGGAAGAUUUGUAUACCAAGUACAAGAAACUUCAACGACAACUGGAAUUCUUAGAAGUUCAAGAAGAGUAUAUAAAAGAUGAACAGAAAAACCUGAAAAAAGAAUACCUCCAUGCUCAAGAGGAAGUAAAAAGAAUUCAGAGUGUACCUUUAGUUAUUGGACAGUUUCUUGAAGCAGUCGAUCAGAAUACUGGAAUAGUGGGUUCUACUACAGGAUCCAACUACUACGUCCGAAUUCUGUCCACAAUUGACAGAGAACUUCUUAAGCCAAGUUCCAGUGUAGCUCUUCACAAACACAGCAAUGCUUUGGUUGAUGUGUUACCACCAGAAGCAGAUAGCAGCAUUGCCAUGCUGCGUCCAGAUGAGAAACCCGACGUGUGCUACUCAGAUAUCGGAGGUUUGGAUAUACAGAAACAAGAGAUCAGAGAAGCUGUGGAGCUCCCUCUUACCCACUUUGAACUCUACAAACAAAUUGGGAUCGACCCUCCUCGUGGGGUUCUUAUGUAUGGUCCCCCUGGUUGUGGAAAGACCAUGUUGGCAAAGGCUGUAGCACAUCAUACUACAGCUGCUUUUAUAAGAGUUGUUGGGUCUGAAUUUGUUCAGAAAUACCUCGGUGAAGGUCCAAGAAUGGUGAGAGACGUUUUUCGACUAGCUAAGGAAAAUGCUCCUGCUAUUAUUUUUAUUGAUGAAAUUGAUGCCAUUGCUACGAAACGCUUUGAUGCCCAGACUGGAGCUGACAGAGAAGUUCAGAGGAUUCUUCUCGAACUGCUCAAUCAGAUGGAUGGUUUUGAUCAAACAACAAAUGUGAAGGUGAUAAUGGCAACCAACAGAGCAGACACCCUUGACCCCGCAUUGUUACGACCUGGCCGACUAGACAGAAAGAUAGAAUUUCCCAUGCCAGACCGGCGACAGAAGAGAUUAAUCUUUUCCACGGUCACUGCAAAAAUGAACUUGAGUGAAGAAGUUGACCUGGAGGACUAUGUAGCUCGUCCAGAUAAGAUCGCGGGAGCUGACAUUAACGCCAUCUGUCAGGAGGUGCGUGAAGCAUUUUUGUCUGCUUGCUUGUUUUGUGUUAGCUCUUGUGCUUCGUAAUGAAUACAAAUUUCGAGGAGCAAUCCAUAGACUGUCUUAAACUUCCUUGAGACUAUAGGAUACUUAUAUUCUAUUACAUCAAUAGUAUUAGAUUUGGCUUUAAGUCUUAAUUUGAAAAAAACUCAUUUUGCUAAAUAUUAUUAUUAAUAAGAGAGUUCUACCCACGUGGCUUAAAAAAACAUAGUAGUUAAAGUGCAGUCAAAGAUAUGAAUGGAUAUAACCUACCUGAAUGAUAGUUUUGAAAAUUGUUAUUUUGGUAUAUAAAACAAGGUAAAUGUUUAACACGUCAUUUGGCUUUCAAGCAGAAUCUCUAUUUAUGUAAAACAAAGUAAACAUUUAACACGUCAUUUGGCUCUCAAGCAGAAUCUAUUUAUGUAAAACAAGGUAAACGUUUAACACGUCAUUUGGCUUUCAAGCAGAAUCUCUAUUUAUGUAAAACAAAGUAAACAUUUAACACGUCAUUUGGCUCUCAAGCAGAAUCUAUUUAUGUAAAACAAGGUAAACGUUUAACACGUCAUUUGACUCUCAAGCAGAAUUUAUUUAUGUAAAUCAAGGUAAACAUUUAACACGUCAUUUGGCUCUCAAGCAGAAUCUAUUUAUGUAAAACAAAGUAAACAUUUAACACGUCAUUUGGCUUUCAUGCAGAAUCUCUAUGUAAAACAAAGUAAACAUUUAACACGUCAUUUGGCUUUCAAAGAGAAUCUCUAUUUAUGUAAAACAAAGUAAACAUUUAACACGUCAUUUGGCUUUCAAGCAGAAUCUCUAUUU